UUGGAGAAAGCUUCCUGACUGGAAUAAUAAAUUGUGCUUGAAAAACAUAGAAAUAGAGGAGAGGGCAAGGUUACUUCUGAAAUGGAAAACUAAGUGGCACAUGGUUUGAAAACUCUCAGAAUCACUGGCAUUCCUUGGUCAAGCUGAGUGGAACAAAUCACUCCCCAAACAAAAUUUUUCGGGUUAAUGCUGGGCAACUUGUCUCAAAAAGGAAGUUUUGACUCUAUAGAGCCAGUGGAUGUGGACCAUGGACUUAGGAAGAGAUUUGGACACAAAGCAGAGAACACCGAAGAGCUGCUCAUUUGCACUGAAGUGGUUUGCUGGCUUUCUGCCUAGAUCUGACAUCUCUUCAAAUGGACGGUCCCAACUCUCUCUCAAUUCUCUUCCCCCUUCUCUGUAAGUCACAAAUGCUGCAUUUGGAGGAACUUCAUUUUAACUAGGAUAAACAUCACAUAAUAAAUGAUGCAUUUUUUCCCAUAAAGCAAACCAUUUAUAAAUGUUUUUAGUAAUUGUUCAUAUUGGAGCACUUGGUGGAAGUCUUAUGAUCUAUAGUGUCCAGUGAGGCUUCCAUUUAAAGGGGAGCAGAGACAAUGCCAAAGUUGAUAGAAGGGAUGAUGGGGAGAUAAACUCUCGAGGCCUAUAUAUUAUCCACCCGCAGUGAUGGAAGGGCCACAGGAAGGACGGUGAUUAUUCUAUUUGGCAAGCCAAUUGUCUGUCUUUGGAAAAUGAUAGGAAGAAGAGUGGAGUCAAAAAUAAUACCUUUCUCACGCCCAGAUAUAAACGAGCUAUUUACAAUCCCUGCUGCCUUUUAGGUUUGGGUUUUAUUUUUCCUCUGAACAAUAGAUUAAACCUUCGAGGAGGUUUGUAGUAAAAGAGGAGGAAACUAUAAAAAACACCACAUACUUGCAGACAUCUGCAAGAAACCAUAUUAUUUGUCCCCUUCAAAGGAAUCUCCUGGAGAGACUAUAAGUUUAUUCAAAUAAAAUAGCUGUGUUGCAGACUUUUAGA
Non-coding RNA from Macaca mulatta (Rhesus monkey), 1008 nucleotides. The record is from RefSeq and is a predicted model, not a curated record. NCBI's taxonomy places the organism in Eukaryota, Metazoa, Chordata, Mammalia, Primates, Cercopithecidae.